GAGAAUGCUUGCAAGAACUGCUAAUUCAUGCUCCCAUGACUAACCCCAUGGCUUUCUCA
Molecule: transfer RNA, 59 nt
Filed under: Lepus oiostolus (woolly hare)
Lineage: Eukaryota; Metazoa; Chordata; Mammalia; Lagomorpha; Leporidae
Also listed under: 4 other names
Description: tRNA-Ser
Source: RNAcentral